GGGGAAUAUUGGACAAUGGGCGCAAGCCUGAUCCAGCCAUGCCGCGUGAGUGAUGAAGGCCUUAGGGUUGUAAAGCUCUUUCGCCAGGGACGAUAAUGACGGUACCUGGAUAAGAAGCCCCGGCUAACUUCGUGCCAGCAGCCGCGGUAAUACGAAGGGGGCUAGCGUUGUUCGGAAUCACUGGGCGUAAAGCGUAUGCAGGCGGAUCGUUAAGUGAGGGGUGAAAUCCCGAGGCUCAACCUCGGAACUGCCUUUCAUACUGGCGAUCUUGGAGUCCGGGAGAGGUGAGUGGAACUGCGAGUGUAGAGGUGAAAUUCGUAGAUAUUCGCAAGAACACCAGUGGCGAAGGCGGCUCACUGGCCCGGUACUGACGCUGAGAUACGAAAGCGUGGGGAGCAAAC
RNAcentral lists this ribosomal RNA (401 nucleotides) under uncultured bacterium. RNAcentral's name for it is "bacterial SSU rRNA". It matches the Rfam family "Bacterial small subunit ribosomal RNA", at positions 356 to 773 of the family's 1533-position model. The record is from RNAcentral.